ACAAGCCAGGAAGCAAUGUAACCGGAGGCUCCGGUGACGCACACGAUCUUCCCUGCUCCACCGCUCAUUUUCGUUUUCUCUCUUUUCUCGUCGUCUCGUCGUCUCGUCGUUGUACUUGCAGUUGUUCUUGCUCGUAUGGCAAUCAGCCACUGCUGCUUCUCCUCCUCUCAGCUCGCCAAAUAUCUGCCCUCUUUUAAAGCAAUUACAAUGGUAACCGUUCGUGCCUCUUACCUACCAUAAACACGCCGUGCUGUCGUAUGCACAGACGUAGGCAAUGAUUCGGUGAUAAUAUGAUGGGUAAUUUGCCUGGUGCUGAGCGUGAAAAAAAUUUCUAAAUUGGUAAAUAAGAGGCUUAUCUGCUGUUUCUUG
This 369-nucleotide unclassified non-coding RNA is filed under the name Hevea brasiliensis (rubber tree). The record is from RNAcentral. Lineage: Eukaryota; Viridiplantae; Streptophyta; Magnoliopsida; Malpighiales; Euphorbiaceae.